Molecule: ribosomal RNA, 254 nt
Filed under: uncultured prokaryote
Description: partial 16S ribosomal RNA
Rfam family: Bacterial small subunit ribosomal RNA
Source: RNAcentral
GACGAGGGGUCCAAGCGUUGUUCGGAAUCAUUGGGCGUAAAGCGGGUGUAGGCGGCUCUAUAAGUCAGGAGUGAAAUCCCCGAGCUUAACUUGGGAAGUGCUUUUGAUACUGCAGAGCUUGAAUGUGGGAGAGGGUAGUGGAAUUCCAGGUGUAGUGGUGAAAUACGUAGAUAUCUGGAGGAACACCGGUGACGAAGGCGACAUCCUGGACCAACACUGACGCUGAUUGAGCGAAAGCCAGGGGAGCAAACGGG